Molecule: ribosomal RNA, 231 nt
Filed under: uncultured bacterium
Lineage: Bacteria
Description: partial 16S ribosomal RNA
Rfam family: Bacterial small subunit ribosomal RNA
Source: RNAcentral
CGGACGGGUGAGUAAUGUCUGGGAAACUGCCCGAUGGAGGGGGAUAACUGCUGGAAACGGUAGCUAAUACCGCAUAACGUCGCAAGACCAAAGAGGGGACCUUCGGGCCUCUUGCCAUCGGAUGUGCCCAGAUGGGAUUAGCUAGUAGGUGGGGUAAUGGCUCACCUAGGCGACGAUCCCUAGCUGGUCUGAGAGGAUGACCAGCCACACUGGAACUGAGACACGGUCCAG